GACGAACGCUGGCGGCGUGCUUAACACAUGCAAGUCGAACGGAAAGGCCCUGCUUUUGUGGGGUGCUCGAGUGGCGAACGGGUGAGUAACACGUGAGUAACCUGCCCUUGACUUUGGGAUAACUUCAGGAAACUGGGGCUAAUACCGGAUAGGAGCUCCUGCUGCAUGGUGGGGGUUGGAAAGUUUCGGCGGUUGGGGAUGGACUCGCGGCUUAUCAGCUUGUUGGUGGGGUAGUGGCUUACCAAGGCUUUGACGGGUAGCCGGCCUGAGAGGGUGACCGGCCACAUUGGGACUGAGAUACGGCCCAGACUCCUACGGGAGGCAGCAGUGGGGAAUAUUGCACAAUGGGCGGAAGCCUGAUGCAGCAACGCCGCGUGCGGGAUGACGGCCUUCGGGUUGUAAACCGCUUUCGCCUGUGACGAAGCGUGAGUGACGGUAAUGGGUAAAGAAGCACCGGCUAACUACGUGCCAGCAGCCGCGGUGAUACGUAGGGUGCGAGCGUUGUCCGGAUUUAUUGGGCGUAAAGGGCUCGUAGGUGGUUGAUCGCGUCGGAAGUGUAAUCUUGGGGCUUAACCCUGAGCGUGCUUUCGAUACGGGUUGACUUGAGGAAGGUAGGGGAGAAUGGAAUUCCUGGUGGAGCGGUGGAAUGCGCAGAUAUCAGGAGGAACACCAGUGGCGAAGGCGGUUCUCUGGGCCUUUCCUGACGCUGAGGAGCGAAAGCGUGGGGAGCGAACAGGCUUAGAUACCCUGGUAGUCCACGCUGUAAACGGUGGGUACUAGGUGUGGGGUCCAUUCCACGGGUUCCGUGCCGUAGCUAACGCUUUAGGUACCCCGCCUGGGGAGUACGGCCGCAAGGCUAAAACUCAAAGGAAUUGACGGGGCCCCGCACAAGCGGCGGAGCAUGCGGAUUAAUUCGAUGCAACGCGUAGAACCUUACCUGGGUUUGACAUGGAUCGGGAGCGCUCAGAGAUGGGUGUGCCUCUUUUGGGGUCGGUUCACAGGUGGUGCAUGGCUGUCGUCAGCUCGUGUCGUGAGAUGUUGGGUUAAGUCCCGCAACGAGCGCAACCCUUGUUCACUGUUGCCAGCACGUUAUGGUGGGGACUCAGUGGAGACCGCCGGGGUCAACUCGGAGGAAGGUGGGGAUGACGUCAAGUCAUCAUGCCCCUUAUGUCCAGGGCUUCACGCAUGCUACAAUGGCUGGUACAGAGAGUGGCGAGCCUGUGAGGGUGAGCGAAUCUCGGAAAGCCGGUCUCAGUUCGGAUUGGGGUCUGCAACUCGACCUCAUGAAGUCGGAGUCGCUAGUAAUCGCAGAUCAGCAACGCUGCGGUGAAUACGUUCCCGGG
RNAcentral lists this ribosomal RNA (1343 nucleotides) under uncultured bacterium. RNAcentral's name for it is "16S ribosomal RNA". It matches the Rfam family "Bacterial small subunit ribosomal RNA", at positions 28 to 1378 of the family's 1533-position model. The record is from RNAcentral.